Long non-coding RNA from Artibeus jamaicensis (Jamaican fruit-eating bat), 4016 nucleotides. RefSeq lists it as uncharacterized. The record is from RefSeq and is a predicted model, not a curated record. Lineage: Eukaryota; Metazoa; Chordata; Mammalia; Chiroptera; Phyllostomidae. The transcript is spliced from 3 exons.
UUGCUGGACCAGCGGGGCAGCCUUGAAAGAAGCGCGCUGGGCGGGGCGGAGCGUGCGUACUCCGUGUGCCUUGCCGCCCUGUGUGACAGUUGGGACACUGACCGCUUGAGAGAGAAACUUCGGCAGGCCGAGCGGAGAGAUUCUGUGGCUAUGAGGCGAGCGGGCGCCAGUACCUCAGAGAAGGUGUAGAGAGGUCCCCUGACCACUGCUGGGAUGCUAUCAAAUAUUCAGGGCCAAAGAAAACAUGAAGAUGAAAAAGAAGUACAUAAUAGCCUGUGUUUGGAAGCAUCUACUUGGUGAUGUUUAUUGAACAUCUACAGAAAUACCCAGAGGAUAGACUACCUGCCUUGGAACUGGCAUGGAGUUGUUCCUCUAGUAACUAGAGCAUGUGGAACACCAGCUUGGGGACAAGGUCCAUUCCUCUGUCAGCUAUGCUCUCAGCUCCAGCAUUAGCCAAGGAGGAGGAAUGGGAAGCGAGAGCUUCAGAUGAGGAGGAAGCUCUCUCCGCAGGCACAUGAGGGAGCCUGUCCUUCUCCCUUGCAGAAAGUCAUUGUGGCACAUGGACAAAGGAAGUAUUAAUAAGCUUUUCUAAAGAGGUACUUCUCUAAGAUUUGGUGUUUCACAGACCACAACCAGUGCUGUCCGUUCUACAGAUGGCCAACUUCUGCAUUUUGGGGAUGGGCUUCCGAAGAUAGAUCAACUUGCAUCCCUAAAGCAGAAGAUGCAGCUCUGGGUAAGGGAAUCAUCAGAGUCUCUAAGCCAGAGGUCAAAAGCUACUACCCACAGACUGGUCAGGGCCAAGAAAGACAACCCCCAAGUAGUCAUUAGAAAUAAUCGACUCCUUUGGAAUGAAGUUACAGCGAUGACAUUACAGCUUUAUGACAACCAGGGCUUCAUGGCAAAACCACUCUGAAAGGCACGGGCUGGGCAUUCCACUGCUGCGUGCUUUAGAACGUAGUCUGGCCCUGCCCUGCCCCCCACGUGCGGGCGACUUUCAGCUGGAAACUAUGCUUUCUAGGUGUUGACAUCUCCUUUGCAAAAUGCAAAUCCAGAGACUGAGGACAGAACCUUUCUUUGACUUCUUACAAGCCUGCAUCCAAGGAGAGGUGGGGAAGUCGUGAGUUUGCAGAGAUGCCCCCACUGCAUCGUUACCAGCUGUGCUCCACCACUGCCUGUAGAGCCUGCGGUCCUGGCCGGGGAUGUGGCGGCCACAGCUACACUGUCUGAAGGCUGUGCUUCCACAACUCAGUGUUUAAUUGCAAAGACCUUCCCAGGGUGAACGGUGUGACUAGGCUAAAAGCCUCUGUAUUAGUUUCCUAGCGCUGCCAUCAUUUGGCCUGAACUCGGUGGCCCAGGCACUGCCUGGCUUGUGGCUGCAUAACACCAAUUUCUGCCUCUGUUUUCAAGUGGACUCCUCUCCUCUCUGUCUCUCUCCUUGUCUAAGGACACUUGUCAUUGGAUUUAGGUCCCAUCCAGAUAAUCUGGGAUGAUUUCAUCUCAAGACCCUUAACCUACUUAAAACUGCAAAGAUUCUUUUUCUGAAUAAGGUCAGGAUUUCAACAUAUCUUCUGUGGGGAUACAGUUCAACCCAGUACAGCCUCCAAAUAGGGAAGGAGAGAGGGACACACAAAAUCCUAUCUACCCUUAAACCCCAAGUCAAAUGCCAUUGUAUCUAGGAGACAUUGCCACUUCCCAUCACCUAGAUACAGUCUCCACUGGGCCGUCUGGGUAUCCCCGUACUGCCCAUGAGUUCUCGCCUAACUUCUAGACCAACUGCAUGAGGGUUCCCUAAGGGUCUUGUUAAAAAUAUAAAUUUCUGAGGCCCUUUGGGAGCCAUGGCUUCGGUGUAGACAUGUCCAGGUUCAAAAAUCACCACUCACAACCAGUCCUGAAAAUGACACAAAAGGCAUCAAAAAACCCUGAUCACAAAGAUAUGAAUCUCUUAAUGGGGUCGACCUCAGGUUCCUGAGGAACAUGUGCUUUGCCAAAAAGCAUAACAAGAAGGGCCCGAAGAAGAUGCAGCCCAACAAUGCCAAGGCCAUGAUUGCAUGUGCCAAGGCUAUCAAGGCCCCCAUAAAGCCCAAGGAGGUCAAGCUUAAGCUCUCAAAGAACAGCAGCCACAAACUCAAUUGAGUUGUUUAUAUCACUCAUCCCAAGCUUGGGGAAAAUGUUCAUGCCUGCCUUGCCAAAGGUCUUCAUCUCUGCUGGCCAAAGGCCAAGGCCAAGGCUCAAAUCAAGACCCAGGCUGUGGCUGCAGCUGUGUCUGUGACUGUGGCUCCAGCUCAGGUUCAGGCUUCCAAACGUGCCCAGGCCCCUAUGACGGCUUCCAGAGUAGAGGCCUCUGUCUGUUGAUGUGAGGAUAGAAGAACUGGUAUGGUGCCUGGGCUGCUGUCUACGUGGGCUGGGUCUUCCUGUGCUGUUUGUACAAAUAAACCUGAGGCACGAUCUGUCAGUCAAAAAACCCCAGAAAAACAAAACCCCACACAUUUCUGUCCUCCAUGCUCCAGCUCCUGCCACUGCCACUGCUGCCCGCGUCGGGCUCUCUGGGCGUGGGACCCUGGCACGGGCAUCUUAGGUCACCUCCCUGGGAGAUUCUGACGCACCCGAGGUGUCAGAAGCCCCGUGCCAGGCUGUGAGCCCCACAGCCAGUUCUCACAUGUGCCCCUAGAUGUCUUACAUUCAUUGCAGCUGGUGAGAGGCGGCACGGAAGUGUGCAGCCCUGGGGUCAGAAUGCCUGCGUUGUCCUACUCGCUCACCGUAACUUCAGGCGAGUGACCUGCACUGUCUGUGCCUCAUGUAAAUGGGAAUAAAUAUAGUGUCUACCUCAAAAGGUGGUGGUCAGAAUCCAAAGAAAUAAAGCAUAUAAAACACUUAGAACAGUGUCUGGCAUAUAGUAGGCCUUCAGUAAAUUUAAGCUGUUAGGAAGUCGACCAGACUGGCAGUUGCUUAUAUUUUCACUGUGUUCCUAGAACCCUCCCUCCCAGGAACAUACCUUGAUUUUUCCACCGUCAUCAGCCUUUGCUGUCUGCACAUGUGCUGAGUACUUCUUUAUCAUACCCUAACAGACCAUCUUAAGUUCCAUUUUAAAAUGGCCCUUUUUAUAAGGAGAACAAAGUGUAGGUAAGGGGUUUGGAAUUCAGGGAAAAGUUAAUUGUAUUAAAAAAAAAACAACUUCAGCAUUCUCACCCUGGGCGGUGGUCUUUAGCUAUGUCCUGGGCGGUGGUCACCUCACCUGGAGCACAAUGGCUCAGAUACCAUCUUGAAUUGCUUGCAGUCCUCCUGAGGCUCAAAGGUGGAAUAGCUAAUGGUCUCCUGGAGUCAGGGUGGGUCACACCUUCAGUUCCUGGAACAAAAGCUUUUACGUGCAUCAAUUACUAAGCUUAUUAGCUAUUACGUAAACUAAAAUUCUCCAACUCUUAAGUCCCCUAUCAUAAGGACACUGAGGGUCAAACAGGUUAAGUAGCUAACCCAAAGUCCCUCAGCCCGUGCAUGGUGAAGUGGGGACGUGAACUAUGGGCUCGGUUCCCGCUGUCGCUGCCAUCCCACACUCCCACUGCCACCCCCGACGGCAUCCCACGCACCGUUGUCAGGCCCUGCUGUUAUACCCAGCUAGGAAAAUUACAGCUAGGGCAUUACCCAACCCUAAAUCUGCAGUUCCUGGAACAGGGUAAUGAACAAACAUCCGGGAACAAUUGGGUUUAAAAUUCUAGCCAAAUAAGGUAACUAACCCGGCCGCCAGAAAGUGCCCGCCAGCAGCAGCACCCACCAAUCAGGGACCCUCGCCGUUUUUAAAUAAGCCAAUAGCUAACCGCCACCUCUGCUUCUGUAUGCCUUUGCUUGCUUGCUAGAAAAUAUAAAUACCCAGUAGUCUGUAAGCCAGGCGCGACUUCCAUUUUGUAGCUCUGAGUAGCUACGUGACUCCGGUCACCGUUGGGGAAGUUCGCCCCUGUGCAGGAAAAAUCUUUGGCCAUUAAAAUUUUUAUCAAUUCGGUUCCGGGCUCCAAGAGUGUGUAUUU